CGUAGGGUGCGAGCGUUAAUCGGAAUUACUGGGCGUAAAGCGUGCGCAGGCGGUUAUGCAAGACAGGUGUGAAAUCCCCCGGGCUCAACCUGGGAACUGCACUUGUGACUGCAUGACUAGAGUGCGUCAGAGGGAGGUGGAAUUCCGCGUGUAGCAGUGAAAUGCGUAGAGAUGCGGAGGAACACCGAUGGCGAAGGCAGCCUCCUGGGAUGACACUGACGCUCAUGCACGAAAGCGUGGGAGCAAACAGGAUU
Molecule: ribosomal RNA, 254 nt
Filed under: uncultured bacterium
Lineage: Bacteria
Description: partial 16S ribosomal RNA
Rfam family: Bacterial small subunit ribosomal RNA
Source: RNAcentral